UGCAAAUACUUCAAGUGCGUAUUACAGAUUAAGGUCGAUUAAUAAAUUUAUGUCGUUUUAAAUGGAGUUGAUAUAUAUCCUAUUUCACAUGUUUUAUUGUAUCAAUAUAAUGGCAAAAUGACAGCCUUUACUAGAAAAGCUUCUUCUCAAUGUUUCUAUUAGAUUGUUUGCAAUAGAAACAAUAAGAAAAUCAAUUUCUUAUGUGGCUUGUACAAAUCGACAAGGUGGUGAAGCGAAUAGUAUAGCGAAAGAAGGAAAUAGAAAGAUGAAGAGGAAGAUAAAAUAAAAAGACUUAGUACAGAAAGAGCGGAGAAGAGUGAAAGGGGAAGGAUUGGAGCAAGGGUGAGACGUUAAUAAAUCAAGUCAAGUUUGACAGUGGCAAGUGAGUGUUCAUCACAGUAUUUUGUGGAAGAAAUUCUAGCAUUCCGAGUAUUCACACAAUCGUUUACUUCGUCCUCUGCUUCCAUCAAAUGACAUUUAAUAAAAUGUCUUUUUCUUGAUUUAAAUAAAGCUGUACUGUUUUCCUCUGGAUAUAUUCAAGGAAAUACUAACCAAAAUCACUCUCCAAUGUACCUAUUACGAUGAACUAUCUGUUGUAUACAUCAAAAGCGAUUACACGGCUUGCUUGAUUCCUAUAUUCAUAGAAAUCUCUGAUUUCUGAGCACGAAAUGCUUUGUUUAACACCCAUAUUACAUCCCUCGUGAACAUCCUGUUAAGAGGAACGAGAGACAUUGCUGAUGCUGUAGUAUAUAGAAACAAAUCCAAGCUGUACAUGGGUACAAAUGAUGUGUAUACAUAUUUUCUGAUCAUAUGAGUGUAUGUGUGUUUGUAGAAAAAUUUUUCUCUUUUAUAACUGGGAAAAGAGUCAUAAUGGUGGUUGAUAUGUAGCCUUACGCGGCAGGACAGUCGUUAAAUGUGGUAAGGGCACCCCUAUGUUUUCUGCAUUACGCAUCCCACUGUGGUUGAGGGGUGACCAGAGGGUAGUAAAAGCUUCAAUUUGCGUUUAAACAUAGUCUUUAGAUCUUGGAGCGGAAAAAGAAGUCACAAAGUGGUGUUUUGUAUAGGAACGUUGUGGGUAGUUUUUAAAUCGUUUUUUAGUUUAUUAAAUGAAAAAUAAAUCACAUUUUAUUGUAUUUUUUACUACAUAGGUUUUUAAUUUUCCAGUGGAAAGUUAUUAGUGUACUUGAUCUAGAAAAUUUAAAUUCAAAUACACAAUAUAUCUUUGUGUUUCAAGGUUUUUUAAAGUACUUUGAAAUUAUUUUUGAACAAUGACAUUGAAAUGUACGAGAAUAGAUAAAAGUAUGUAUAUGGACCUUUUUCCAGUAGCAUGAAAGGCUUUUGGUAGCAUCAUAGUAUUUGUAUGCGCAGACGAAGGUACACGCGUGUAUCAUUGUUAUUGCUGUCUUACAGUGUAUAACGACUAUCUAUGUAACUAAUAUUAUUGUAAUGAUGAAAAGAAUCUUUAUAAAAUUUAAGUUUGUCGAGAUUUGUAUUUUAAGAUGACCAUGAAAUAUAACAAGGUUUUUUAAAAUGCGAUCAAUUUUCAUCACAGUUUAUCUGUCAGGCAAAUCAGCCCGUGUUCAACAGAAACAACUGAACCGAAAAAUCGAAUAUUCGGCAUAAUUUUAUACCCAAAAGUGACGUUUAUAUAAUAACAGUAACUAAGUUAUGCUUCUAGUGAUACAAGAAAUGCAAGUCAUUCUUAAAUAUUUUUAGUAAUACAUUUUGUUUCGAUUUCUUUCCAUCAAUC
RNAcentral lists this long non-coding RNA (1750 nucleotides) under Chelonus insularis. RNAcentral describes it as "uncharacterized LOC118072599". The record is from RNAcentral. Lineage: Eukaryota; Metazoa; Arthropoda; Insecta; Hymenoptera; Braconidae.